RNAcentral lists this ribosomal RNA (491 nucleotides) under uncultured bacterium. RNAcentral describes it as "partial 16S ribosomal RNA". It matches the Rfam family "Bacterial small subunit ribosomal RNA", at positions 29 to 507 of the family's 1533-position model. The record is from RNAcentral.
GUGAACGCUGGCGGUAGGCCUAACACAUGCAAGUCGAACGGCAGCACAGUAAGAGCUUGCUCUUACGGGUGGCGAGUGGCGGACGAGUGAGGAAUACAUCGGAAUCUACUUUUUCGUGGGGGAUAACGUAGGGAAACUUACGCUAAUACCGCAUACGACCUACGGGUGGAAGCAGGGGAUCUUCGGACCUUGCGCGAUUGAAUGAGCCGAUGUCGGAUUAGCUAGUUGGCGGGGUAAAGGCCCACCAAGGCGACGAUCCGUAGCUGGUCUGAGAGGAUGAUCAGCCACACUGGAACUGAGACACGGUCCAGACUCCUACGGGAGGCAGCAGUGGGGAAUAUUGGAUAAUGGGCGCAAGCCUGAUCCAGCCAUACCGCGUGGGUGAAGAAGGCCUUCGGGUUGUAAAGCCCUUUUGUUGGGAAAGAAAAGCAGCAGGUUAAUACCCCGCUGUUCUGACGGUACCCAAAGAAUAAGCACCGGCUAACUUCGUG